CCUACGGGCGGCAGCAGUGAGGAAUAUUGGUCAAUGGUCGGGAGACUGAACCAGCCAAGCCGCGUGAGGGAGGAAGGUACAGAGUAUCGUAAACCUCUUUUGUCAGGGAACAAAGACUGGGACGCGUCCCCGGAUGAGUGUAUCUGAAGAAAAAGCAUCGGCUAACUCCGUGCCAGCAGCCGCGGUAAUACGGAGGAUGCGAGCGUUAUCCGGAUUUAUUGGGUUUAAAGGGUGCGGAGGCGGUUUGAUAAGUCAGCGGUGAAAUGGCCGGGCGCAACCCCGGACCUGCCUCUAAUACUGGUAGACUAGAGUAGAGUUGAGGUAUGCGGAAUGUAUGGUGUAGCGGUGAAAUGCUUAGAUAUCGUACAGAACACCGAUUGCGAAGGCAGCUUACCGGCUCCAAUCUGACGUUGAGGCACGAAAGCGUGGGUAUCGAACAGGAUUAGAUACCCGUGUAGUC
This 460-nucleotide ribosomal RNA is filed under the name uncultured bacterium. RNAcentral describes it as "partial 16S ribosomal RNA". It matches the Rfam family "Bacterial small subunit ribosomal RNA", at positions 338 to 795 of the family's 1533-position model. The record is from RNAcentral.